RNAcentral lists this ribosomal RNA (468 nucleotides) under uncultured bacterium. Its description in RNAcentral is "partial 16S ribosomal RNA". It matches the Rfam family "Bacterial small subunit ribosomal RNA", at positions 28 to 507 of the family's 1533-position model. The record is from RNAcentral.
GGCGAACGCUGGCGGCGUGCUUAACACAUGCAAGUCGAACGGAAAGGCCCUGCUUUUGUGGGGUGCUCGAGUGGCGAACGGGUGAGUAACACGUGAGUAACCUGCCCUUGACUUUGGGAUAACUUCAGGAAACUGGGGCUAAUACCGGAUAGGAGCUCCUGCUGCAUGGUGGGGGUUGGAAAGUUUCGGCGGUUGGGGAUGGACUCGCGGCUUAUCAGCUUGUUGGUGGGGUAGUGGCUUACCAAGGCUUUGAUGGGUAGCCGGCCUGAGAGGGUGACCGGCCACAUUGGGACUGAGAUACGGCCCAGACUCCUACGGGAGGCAGCAGUGGGGAAUAUUGCACAAUGGGCGGAAGCCUGAUGCAGCAACGCCGCGUGCGGGAUGACGGCCUUCGGGUUGUAAACCGCUUUCGCCUGUGACGAAGCGUGAGUGACGGUAAUGGGUAAAGAAGCACCGGCUAACUACGUG